RNAcentral lists this long non-coding RNA (991 nucleotides) under Anas platyrhynchos platyrhynchos (common mallard). RNAcentral describes it as "lncRNA (ENSAPLG00000018751.1)". Lineage: Eukaryota; Metazoa; Chordata; Aves; Anseriformes; Anatidae. The record is from RNAcentral.
CACUAGAACAUAUGCUGGAGUUUUGUCUCACUGUCUCCUCUCCUCCUCAGGUUUCCAUGGGUAUAGCUGUUUUUGAUCUCAGUUCAUCUGCCUUACUGCAGUGUUUUUCUUGCUGUUGGAGGGGUUCUGCUAUUUCUGCCUCUCCUUUUCACCCUGCAGCCCCAAUUCCUUCUCCUUUUCCCCAGAAAGGUACUGGGGAAUUACAGUAGCAAAAAUAACAGUUUGUAGAGGCUCAAAAUAAUUUAUUCUCCCAAUGGCUUCCUUCUUUUUACUUUUGUUCAUUAUCCUAGAGACCUCCCUUGCUUCCCUUUUUGGCUCUCUCCCUUGCAUCUCCUGUGCUUCCCAUUUCUGCAGGCCCUAGAGCUAGACACGUGCCUGGGCUCAGGCCACCUGCUACAGAUGUUUGAGAUAUAGCCUAGAUAUAAUAAGGUGCUUGUCCACCUCUGCUACUUACAAUAUCACAAACAGAAGGAAAAAAAUUUCUACACUCCAAAUAUAUUUCUACACAUCUACGUUUCUAUAUUCCUCCAGGUGACUUCAUUUGCCACUUUCUGAUUGCUCUGCUAAAGCACAUGUAACCUGCUCAGUUGGUUCUCCUGCUGGAGUAUCUCCAUGCUGCUGCUGGCCAGCCCAUGCAGGCAGUGCCCUCCCUGAUACUCACAACUCAGCUGCUCUUCUUGCCUUAUUUAAGCAGCCAUUCAAUAUAUACUUUGAAUGAUUCUGAGGUCCGUUCAGCAGGAACUGCUGUGGUAGUAAGAAGUGUCAGUUGCACCAGCCUCCUUGUCCUUUCCCCUUCUUGGUUUUCCAGAGGAACAGUGCUUUCCUGCCCAGACUAUCAUCCCUCACUAGAGGUCAUUGCAUUCCUUUCUGCUUAUAAAAUUUUUGGUAUUCAGCAGCUUCAUCGUGCCAUGUAGUGGAUAAAGGAGAAUAUAGGAGAUAAAUCUGCACAUAAAAAGAAUAAGGAGAAAACUAAAAGGAUGUAGCAGUACAU